CCACGCUGCGCCGCCUCAAGCAGGGCUCCACCCGCACGCGCGUCGCCUUCUACGAGGAACUGUAGGCCACGGAACAUUGGGGAGUCAACUGUAUUUAUUUACAAGCAGUGUAAGUUGAAUAUUAUUAUGUCAAUAUGUUAGUACAAAGUGUUUUAAUGUAAAAUCAAAAGUGCCUUAUCUCAAAGAAAACAUGUAUCAAAAGAAAAUCAUAAUAACAUCAAGCAAUUUAAAAUUCU
Molecule: long non-coding RNA, 236 nt
Organism: Melitaea cinxia (Glanville fritillary)
Lineage: Eukaryota; Metazoa; Arthropoda; Insecta; Lepidoptera; Nymphalidae
Exons: 2
Source: RefSeq, a predicted model, not a curated record